This 585-nucleotide ribosomal RNA is filed under the name uncultured bacterium. Its description in RNAcentral is "bacterial SSU rRNA". It matches the Rfam family "Bacterial small subunit ribosomal RNA", at positions 338 to 916 of the family's 1533-position model. The record is from RNAcentral.
CCUACGGGAGGCAGCAGUGGGGAAUUUUGGACAAUGGACGCAAGUCUGAUCCAGCCAUGCCGCGUGCGGGAAGAAGGCCUUCGGGUUGUAAACCGCUUUUGUCAGGGAAGAAAAGGUUCUGGUUAAUACCUGGGACUCAUGACGGUACCUGAAGAAUAAGCACCGGCUAACUACGUGCCAGCAGCCGCGGUAAUACGUAGGGUGCAAGCGUUAAUCGGAAUUACUGGGCGUAAAGCGUGCGCAGGCGGUUAUGCAAGACAGAGGUGAAAUCCCCGGGCUCAACCUGGGAACUGCCUUUGUGACUGCAUAGCUAGAGUACGGUAGAGGGGGAUGGAAUUCCGCGUGUAGCAGUGAAAUGCGUAGAUAUGCGGAGGAACACCGAUGGCGAAGGCAAUCCCCUGGACCUGUACUGACGCUCAUGCACGAAAGCGUGGGGAGCAAACAGGAUUAGAUACCCUGGUAGUCCACGCCCUAAACGAUGUCAACUGGUUGUUGGGAGGGUUUCUUCUCAGUAACGUAGCUAACGCGUGAAGUUGACCGCCUGGGGAGUACGGCCGCAAGGUUGAAACUUAAAGGAAUUGACGG